Molecule: ribosomal RNA, 246 nt
Filed under: uncultured phototrophic eukaryote
Lineage: Eukaryota
Description: partial 16S ribosomal RNA
Rfam family: Bacterial small subunit ribosomal RNA
Source: RNAcentral
CCAAGGAAGAAAUUUUGACGGUACCUGAGGAAUAAGCAUCGGCUAACUCUGUGCCAGCAGCCGCGGUAAUACAGAGGAUGCAAGCGUUAUCCGGAAUCACUGGGCAUAAAGCGUUUGUAGGUUGCUUAGCAAGUCUGUUGUUAAAGAUCAGGGCCUAACCCUGGGAAAGCAAUGGAAACUUCUUGGCUUGAGUAUGGUAGAGGUAGAGGGAAUUCCUGGUGUAGCGGUGAAAUGGGUAGAUAUUAG